GACGAACGCUGGCGGCGUGCUUAACACAUGCAAGUCGAACGGAAAGGCCCUGCUUUUGUGGGGUGCUCGAGUGGCGAACGGGUGAGUAACACGUGAGUAACCUGCCCUUGACUUUGGGAUAACUUCAGGAAACUGGGGCUAAUACCGGAUAGGAGCUCCUGCUGCAUGGUGGGGGUUGGAAAGUUUCGGCGGUUGGGGAUGGACUCGCGGCUUAUCAGCUUGUUGGUGGGGUAGUGGCUUACCAAGGCUUUGACGGGUAGCCGGCCUGAGAGGGUGACCGGCCACAUUGGGACUGAGAUACGGCCCAGACUCCUACGGGAGGCAGCAGUGGGGAAUAUUGCACAAUGGGCGGAAGCCUGAUGCAGCAACGCCGCGUGCGGGAUAACGGCCUUCGGGUUGUAAACCGCUUUCGCCUGUGACGAAGCGUGAGUGACGGUAAUGGGUAAAGAAGCACCGGCUAACUACGUGCCAGCAGCCGCGGUGAUACGUAGGGUGCGAGCGUUGUCCGGAUUUAUUGGGCGUAAAGGGCUCGUAGGUGGUUGAUCGCGUCGGAAGUGUAAUCUUGGGGCUUAACCCUGAGCGUGCUUUCGAUACGGGUUGACUUGAGGAAGGUAGGGGAGAAUGGAAUUCCUGGUGGAGCGGUGGAAUGCGCAGAUAUCAGGAGGAACACCAGUGGCGAAGGCGGUUCUCUGGGCCUUUCCUGACGCUGAGGAGCGAAAGCGUGGGGAGCGAACAGGCUUAGAUACCCUGGUAGUCCACGCUGUAAACGGUGGGUACUAGGUGUGGGGUCCAUUCCACGGGUUCCGUGCCGUAGCUAACGCUUUAAGUACCCCGCCUGGGGAGUACGGCCGCAAGGCUAAAACUCAAAGGAAUUGACGGGGCCCCGCACAAGCGGCGGAGCAUGCGGAUUAAUUCGAUGCAACGCGUAGAACCUUACCUGGGUUUGACAUGGAUCGGGAGCGCUCAGAGAUGGGUGUGCCUCUUUUGGGGUCGGUUCACAGGUGGUGCAUGGCUGUCGUCAGCUCGUGUCGUGAGAUGUUGGGUUAAGUCCCGCAACGAGCGCAACCCUUGUUCACUGUUGCCAGCACGUUAUGGUGGGGACUCAGUGGAGACCGCCGGGGUCAACUCGGAGGAAGGUGGGGAUGACGUCAAGUCAUCAUGCCCCUUAUGUCCAGGGCUUCACGCAUGCUACAAUGGCUGGUACAGAGAGUGGCGAGCCUGUGAGGGUGAGCGAAUCUCGGAAAGCCGGUCUCAGUUCGGAUUGGGGUCUGCAACUCGACCUCAUGAAGUCGGAGUCGCUAGUAAUCGCAGAUCAGCAACGCUGCGGUGAAUACGUUCCCGGGGCU
Molecule: ribosomal RNA, 1346 nt
Filed under: uncultured bacterium
Lineage: Bacteria
Description: bacterial SSU rRNA
Rfam family: Bacterial small subunit ribosomal RNA
Source: RNAcentral